GGUUCCAAACUAAUCCACGACUAGGUGAAUUCGUCAUUGCCUAACCGCAAAUAUGCAAGGGUCCACUGACCACCACAGCCAUUUAAACAUUGUUUUCUGCCUGUGUCAUAGGAACACUUUUCGUAUGAUUGAGCAGGAUGACUUUGACAUCAGCUCCAAACUGCACACAAUUGUUCGAGGGGAGGAUGAGGCAGCCAUGGUGGAGAGUGUUGGGCUUGCUCUGGUCAAACUUCCAGAUGUCCUACAAAGAUUGCGCCCGGAUCUUGUCAUUAUCCAUGGAGAUCGUUUUGAUGCACUGGCUCUAGCAACUUCUGCUGCACUGAUGAACAUUAGGAUACUUCACUUAGAGGGAGGAGAGGUGAGUGGCACAAUUGACGACUCAAUCCGCCACGCCAUCAGUAAACUGGCCCAUUAUCAUGCCUGCUGCACACGGAGGGCAGAGCAACACCUCAUUUCCAUGUGUGAGGACCACUCUCGAAUCCUACUGGCUGGCUGUCCCUCCUAUGACAAGCUGCUGUCACCUCAUAACUCGGAAGUCUAUUUGGAUAUCAUCAAGAGCUGGUUGGGUAUGUCAGACACUCUAGAUAUACUGUAACUGUCAGGGUUCCGACACAAGUUUUGAAAAGUAUGGAAUUUGAUUUCUUAAAUCUCAAGGAAUAGAAAAAUAUGGAAAACAUUUUAUGGAAAUAUAUUCAUGUUUACAAGACUCCUACAAGAGCCUUGAUCUCUUAAAAAAAGAAUUUAAAAAAGUGAAUAUCCAUCCAUCCUUUAUCCAAACUGCUUAUCAUCACAAGAGAUUGUUUUUCGUAAAAGUCUGGAAAAAUAAUCGAAUUUUGAAAUCUCAUGUGUGUAGGAACCCUGAACUGUUGUAAGACAGCAGUAGAAAGUCACACACAAACCAAGUUAGGUCAUUCUUGUUUUUUUUUUUUUUUUUACAUUCCAUCCCGAAUCCACGUUUUUUUCCCCCUUUUGUUUUUUGUUAAUUGAAGAAACAGAAGAAUGAAAAAGGAAAGAGGCUAAACUUAGUUCUCAGGGACAUCACAAAACGAAAAAAAAAUAGUAGCAUUAAGCAUUUAAGAUAUUGUAAAUAUGAAAGUGUCAAUUCAGAAAAUUGUAAAAUUCUAAUUAUUUAUGAUCAGUAUGUUGUGUUUAUUUUUUAUUUGUUUUUUUUUUGAGAGGGGGUGUAAUUGAACUGUUUUGGUUAUGGGGGAUUUUAAAGCAUUUUUGUAAGAGCAAAGACUUUUCUCAGGUGCUCCUGUGUACAUUUCUGUUUUGCUAUAUUUUACUGUUACUGUGUUUUGUUGUUGUUUUUAGCUUUGCAAGGAAAAAAAAUGUUUAAAAAAAACAAAGAAGCAGCAGCAACAGCGUGUAAAUUGAGGAAAAUGGGCACAGUUGCAUACUUAAACCUGACUAUGCAGAACCACUCGGAUGGGCUUCUCAAGACGGCUCCUUAAGUGCGCAAGCUGCUGAGACGCAGUGGACCGAACCACCCCAAGAGAGGCGGCUGGGGGGGGGAAAGCAACCAAGCCGAGGUCCGGCCUGCGUUGCCACUGGGACAAUGAACAAGUCGCUGACUUGGCUUUCUUGCAGCAUAUGGGUGACAGCGAAACAUUUAAACUGGGAAAAUGCCUUUCUGACCUAUCAAUGUACAAAGUAGUUUUGCUUGACUUCUUUGUGAGGUUUGAUUCAAUCAGGACUUAAACGCCUUUAGUGUCUUCUCGAGGUGUCAUGUGGUGGCGCUUAUAGCCGCAAAAGAGAGAACAACCCCGAAACGUCACAAAAAGCAACGAGGAACUAGUGGGAUGGCCUUUUGGAUGACCUCAAUCCUUCGUCUUGAAUCUAUUGUUUGAUAUCAUCUUCGGUCCAAUUGUUUUGUGGCGGGGCCCGUUCCCCCGUUCCGCAAGCUGCUAGCCUCGGUGCGGCCGACUUGAAGCAGCAUCGCCGACAUCGAUGCUUUGCAGCAGACUCGAUCUAAGCAGGUGCUGCAUCAUUUAGAAGGUGGCAACUUCCGCACAAAGCGAACGUCCACUCGACGACACGAACACGUGACCGGGGCAGGUACUUGCGCCCGUUGCUUGAACAGGAAGCUGCCGAAAGCUGCCUUUCCCGCCAUUCGUCUUGUCAAACCGACAGCAUCGUGACUUCCUCUGUCUAGCUUUGUUUGUUUACGCUUGCAGGAGGAAGAGGAGCUUUGCGUAUUUUUCCACAUCCGUUCCCCUUUUUUUUUUUCUUGCGUUUGUAGGCGAGUACUGUUUGCCGGUAGCAUUCAUUCAUUCGGUCACCCACUGUUUUUCCCGUUUAUGUUGUUGUGGAUUGUUUCCAACUCAAGGGAAUAUUGAAAGUGUUUGUUGCCUCUUCGUGCUACUGAUUUUAAAAAGGUAUUUUCCAGUAUUUGUUGCCACAGAAGUAUGAUAGCUUAACAUCACUUUUUUAUUUGUAAUUUGUUGGGGGGAAGGGUGCGGAUUCUUGAGCUACUGUCUAUAAAGCAAGAAUUUAUUACUAUUUAUGUAUCGCUACUACCAUUUUAUAUUGAUUUGUGUUGGACUCUCAGUGCUUUUCUAUGAAUAAAAGUGUGAAACACGUUA
This is a long non-coding RNA of Hippocampus comes (tiger tail seahorse), 2585 nucleotides long. RefSeq lists it as uncharacterized. The transcript is spliced from 2 exons. The record is from RefSeq and is a predicted model, not a curated record. NCBI's taxonomy places the organism in Eukaryota, Metazoa, Chordata, Actinopteri, Syngnathiformes, Syngnathidae.